UUCAACAGGAGAGGACCUCAGAAAGUUUGCUCCUCGUAACAAGCGCGACUUUUUCGCAUCAUCUCAAUUAAUGUGCACACAAAGUUGUAAAUUCAUCCUGGCAUCCUCCAUUUGGUCUUUUCUGAACUGGCUGCUCUUCUCAGCCAGCUCAGCGCACCAAUUUCAAACCAUCUUCUCUUCAAGGCAUUGUACAAGCCACCGCAUCAUCACAGGCUUCGCACGGCGGAGAAUCCCGCCCGGCCUGGAGAGUCGGCACAAGCUCGGAGCGGAGUCCGGAGUACCGAGCGUCACAGAUUGCGUUAAACUGAACUUGAAUGGAACUGAACAUGAAACAAAGUAGUAGGCCUACUGAACGCGUUGAACUCGAACUGAACCUCGACUUGGAGGAUGCUCUAGCUUCACGCAAGAAUACAGAUAUCUGAGAAAUGGCAGCCUGUCAUAUCUGGAUGAGAGUGGUCAGAUGAAGAGGCUUCUGGUUGAGGCUUCUGAUGGAGGCCCCGUUGCUGCUAGGAGGAAAACGCAGGGAGGAGAACCUACGGAACUCGGAACUGUGGACUGUGCUUGCUGAGCUUGCCAGGAAUUCCUACAAACUUCGGACAUGAUUCUUUAUGGAGAGAAAACCCCACCGGAUAAUUGGGCAAGUAAUUACUAAAUAAAAAGAUAUUUCAAGAGAUGAAAUGAAAAGA
Molecule: long non-coding RNA, 686 nt
Organism: Patiria miniata (bat star)
Lineage: Eukaryota; Metazoa; Echinodermata; Asteroidea; Valvatida; Asterinidae
Exons: 2
Source: RefSeq, a predicted model, not a curated record